This 253-nucleotide ribosomal RNA is filed under the name uncultured bacterium. Its description in RNAcentral is "partial 16S ribosomal RNA". It matches the Rfam family "Bacterial small subunit ribosomal RNA", at positions 524 to 776 of the family's 1533-position model. The record is from RNAcentral.
UACGUAGGGGGCUAGCGUUGUCCGGAAUCAUUGGGCGUAAAGCGCGCGUAGGCGGCCCGGUAAGUCCGCUGUGAAAGUCAAAGGCUCAACCUUUGAAUGUCAGCGGAUACUGCCGGGCUAGAGUCCGGAAGAGGCGAGUGGAACUCCUGGUGUAGCGGUGGAAUGCGCAGAUAUCAGGAAGAACACCAACGGCGAAGGCAGCUCGCUGGGACGUGACUGACGCUGAGACGCGAAAGCGUGGGGAGCAAACAGG